ACAGUACAAACUGAGCAGACCGUGAUCGCAAAUCAUGGAGUCGGGUCACAAAAAGUGACAGUGGAAUUUUCUACCCACGGGACAGU
Molecule: non-coding RNA, 86 nt
Filed under: bovine gut metagenome
Description: NiCo riboswitch
Rfam family: NiCo (Nickel/Cobalt) riboswitch aptamer
Source: RNAcentral